AUGGGUUUGUUGCUUGCACACUGAGACAGUCACGCACGGGCCAGUGGGGUGAGCGAAUACUGCCGCAUUUUGUCAUGCUGAGUGGACUUGAGAUCGUGGUUUGUCUUAUCCGAUAAAAGCGCAUGUUACUGAGAAGAAAGAAAAUUAUGCUGGUUUGGAAUUACAUAAGGCCGAACUUGGCCUGAAAACCUUGAAAACCUGGCAACACUGAGUCUGGUAUGUGUACAGCACUCUGCACAUGCGUCAAGCGCAAGAAGCAAGCUUCUAUCAUGAAUGUGCCAAGGAGACUGGGGAUGUCAAGAUGUAUAGUGAAAAAGGACUUUCACUUUGGUCUGUUUCUCACCCAAAGAGAUCAAAUCGCUUAAGAAGACAUGGAUUAAACCACGUUUAAUGCCUGGUGCUUGUUGACAAGCACACUCACCAAUGCCUGCACGCAGAUGGCAUCAUCUGAAAAUAAAGAUCAAAGACUACUGAAAUCCCAUUCGUUCCACUCCGAAUGGGAUCUACAUGCUUUUACACAGAGAGAGAGGGAGAGAUUUGGUUAUGUGCCGAAAGAGAAAAACGGAAUUCUGGAUCAGCGAGUCCCAGAUGGUAGCGGCAGAUAUUUGCACUACCACCCCUGAAAAAGAGGGCA
Molecule: long non-coding RNA, 634 nt
Organism: Myxocyprinus asiaticus (Chinese sucker)
Lineage: Eukaryota; Metazoa; Chordata; Actinopteri; Cypriniformes; Catostomidae
Exons: 4
Source: RefSeq, a predicted model, not a curated record